Molecule: ribosomal RNA, 251 nt
Filed under: uncultured Eubacterium sp.
Lineage: Bacteria; Bacillati; Bacillota; Clostridia; Eubacteriales; Eubacteriaceae
Description: partial 16S ribosomal RNA
Rfam family: Bacterial small subunit ribosomal RNA
Source: RNAcentral
UACGUAGGUGGCGAGCGUUAUCCGGAAUGAUUGGGCGUAAAGGGUGCGUAGGUGGCAGAUCAAGUCUGGAGUAAAAGGUAUGGGCUCAACCCGUACUUGCUCUGGAAACUGAUCAGCUAGAGAACAGAAGAGGACGGCGGAACUCCAUGUGUAGCGGUAAAAUGCGUAGAUAUAUGGAAGAACACCGGUGGCGAAGGCGGCCGUCUGGUCUGGAUUCUGACACUGAAGCACGAAAGCGUGGGGAGCAAAUA